GAAGGCUAUGUUGGCCGGGCGACGGUUGUCCCGGUUUAAGCGUGUAGGCUGGUUUUCCAGGCAAAUCCGGAAAAUCAAGGCUGAGGCGUGAUGACGAGGCACUACGGUGCUGAAGCAACAAAUGCCCUGCUUCCAGGAAAAGCCUCUAAGCAUCAGGUAACAUCAAAUCGUACCCCAAACCGACACAGGUGGUCAGGUAGAGAAUACCAAGGCGCUUGAGAGAACUCGGGUGAAGGAACUAGGCAAAAUGGUGCCGUAACUUCGGGAGAAGGCACGCUGAUAUGUAGGUGAAGUCCCUUGCGGAUGGAGCUGAAAUCAGUCGAAGAUACCAGCUGGCUGCAACUGUUUAUUAAAAACACAGCACUGUGCAAACACGAAAGUGGACGUAUACGGUGUGACGCCUGCCCGGUGCCGGAAGGUUAAUUGAUGGGGUCAGCGCAAGCGAAGCUCUUGAUCGAAGCCCCGGUAAACGGCGGCCGUAACUAUAACGGUCCUAAGGUAGCGAAAUUCCUUGUCGGGUAAGUUCCGACCUGCACGAAUGGCGUAAUGAUGGCCAGGCUGUCUCCACCCGAGACUCAGUGAAAUUGAACUCGCUGUGAAGAUGCAGUGUACCCGCGGCAAGACGGAAAGACCCCGUGAACCUUUACUAUAGCUUGACACUGAACAUUGAGCCUUGAUGUGUAGGAUAGGUGGGAGGCUUUGAAGUGUGGACGCCAGUCUGCAUGGAGCCGGCCUUGAAAUACCACCCUUUAAUGUUUGAUGUUCUAACGUGGACCCGUGAUCCGGGUUGCGGACAGUGUCUGGUGGGUAGUUUGACUGGGGCGGUCUCCUCCUAAAGAGUAACGGAGGAGCACGAAGGUUGGCUAAUCCUGGUCGGACAUCAGGAGGUUAGUGCAAUGGCAUAAGCCAGCUUGACUGCGAGCGUGACGGCGCGAGCAGGUGCGAAAGCAGGUCAUAGUGAUCCGGUGGUUCUGAAUGGAAGGGCCAUCGCUCAACGGAUAAAAGGUACUCCGGGGAUAACAGGCUGAUACCGCCCAAGAGUUCAUAUCGACGGCGGUGUUUGGCACCUCGAUGUCGGCUCAUCACAUCCUGGGGCUGAAGUAGGUCCCAAGGGUAUGGCUGUUCGCCAUUUAAAGUGGUACGCGAGCUGGGUUUAGAACGUCGUGAGACAGUUCGGUCCCUAUCUGCCGUGGGCGCUGGAGAACUGAGGGGGGCUGCUCCUAGUACGAGAGGACCGGAGUGGACGCAUCACUGGUGUUCGGGUUGUCAUGCCAAUGGCACUGCCCGGUAGCUAAAUGCGGAAGAGAUAAGUGCUGAAAGCAUCUAAGCACGAAACUUGCCCCGAGAUGAGUUCUCCCUGACCCUUUAAGGGUCCUGAAGGAACGUUGAAGACGACGACGUUGAUAGGCCGGGUGUGUAAGCGCAGCGAUGCGUUGAGCUAACCGGUACUAAUGAACCGUGAGGCU
RNAcentral lists this ribosomal RNA (1466 nucleotides) under Shigella sonnei. RNAcentral describes it as "partial 23S ribosomal RNA". It matches the Rfam family "Bacterial large subunit ribosomal RNA", at positions 1477 to 2925 of the family's 2925-position model. The record is from RNAcentral. Lineage: Bacteria; Pseudomonadati; Pseudomonadota; Gammaproteobacteria; Enterobacterales; Enterobacteriaceae.